This is a long non-coding RNA of Patella vulgata (common limpet), 4130 nucleotides long. RefSeq lists it as uncharacterized. NCBI's taxonomy places the organism in Eukaryota, Metazoa, Mollusca, Gastropoda, Patellidae. The transcript is spliced from 3 exons. The record is from RefSeq and is a predicted model, not a curated record.
GGUCAAGUAGUUUUAAACUGGGAACAACCACAGGGUGAAAUGGUAGCAUAUAGAUCAUUUAGUCCAUUCUUUCCCUUGUUAAUUUGUUAUGAUCUACCAUCAGUUCAACUGUGGGCAGUUUGGGCCAUAAAUCAUGUUUGUACUAAAAAUGAGAAACGAUAUUGUCCAUUAUUACAAGAAGAGGGAGGUGUGGAGAAACUACAAGCUCUACUAAAGAACGACACAACGCCAGAAGUACAAAAAAUAUCAAGGAAUAUUCUCGAACUUUUACACAAACAUGCCAAAAGCCAGUGAUAUAUUGUUUAAAAAAGAAUAUUAUACACCAGUCUGAUUUGUUCAGGGCCGAUGUUUUCUUUAUAUGUCAAUCUUGUUUUAAAAUUGGCCAACUGUGUAUGAACAACAGACAUACGGCCAUAUAAAAAAUAAUAUUCUCGUUCUCUGAUACUACUACACCACUUAAUACUGUCUUUACAACCGUUUUUAUUUUAAAAUGUAAAAAAUAUAAACAUCUUUGGCUUUGAUUACAACUUCCCACUGUUAAGGGAAGUAACUCUGUUAGACAUGUCCAGUAGGCUGAAUUAUCAAGUACACAAACUUGCUAAAUGUUUGGUAAAUGUUAUUGACAAUCUUCUUUCAUGGAUGAUAAUUCUCCUGCUUACUACAUCUAGUAAUGAGAAGGGAAUUACUCGUAUUAUACACCAUUUUGAUGGAAGGAGCAGUAUUCACAUUAGAAAUACAAAAUUUGUUCUUUCCUUCUGUAGAGAGAAAUAUUUACGGGUUUUAAAUAGAAACCUAUAUUUAAAGGAUUGUCUGAGAACCUGAAUUUUUUUGUAUGGCCUAAAUUCACUUUGUUAACAGAAGCUUAUGUUUAGACAAUGGUUAAAAAUGUCUACAUUAAUCUAAAUGUUUACCAUUUCCUAAAAUAAGUUACAUUCAUAAAGCCAUAACUCCGCUGUAUUAAACCCCAUUUCUGUUGUAUUCACCUCCCUCCAUUUGAUAUUUUAGUCCCCUUACUAUGUUAAAUUCCCAAAAAUGAACAAAUUUGAAGGUCAAAUUCAUAUCUUCCUGCUUGUCACUAUAAGAAUGCACCAAGAGUUUUUCAGUAAAGACAUUUCUAGAAAGUUAGGAACGACUCUUCUUUAGGAACUAACCAUGUUUUUGGAAGAAUUUCAAAAAUCUAAUUCACCAAGUCAAUGCAGAAUAUUUUCCUAAGAACAAACAUGCCAAUUUUCAUGCCGAUCGGACUUGAAUUGAUGGAGUCUUAGGCUUUUUCGAAGAGUGUUACCCCCUCAAGUCUGGUCCCCCCCCCCAAAAUACUCUUUUACUUGUUCAGAUAUGAAAAAUACUGACUGGAUUUCAAAGCUGCUUUGCAGUUUGAAAUGGAAGUAUUUGAAUAUGUGCAAAUACUGGCAAAUUUUAGUAUCUACUGCUGUUUAAUUUAUUUGACAUAAGAAUAUAAACUAGAAAUCCUAAGGAGUACUGACGUGUUUCGGUAUAUCAAGUCACGUCACACCAUGUCACUUCAACAUUCAAGUCACACCAUGAAUUAUUGAGUAUAGUAACAUCCAAUACCUAUUAAAGUGAAAAAAAACUGUCAUUUUGAACUCUUAAUAAAACCAGAAGUUAUACCAAACUUUUUUAUAUUAAUUGUUAGUAGACAUUAGGAUCAUCAUACAUACAAAGGUCAUAGAAAGGUUAGGUCACCAUCUAGAUGGUGAAAAGUCGAACAAACUUCAAAGUGAAAUCGGAAGUAAACAAAAUCGAAAUUCAAAAAUCGGCUCCCUAAAGAUUGUUGCGAUUUGGAAUAGGUUCAGUACAAAAAAAAAGUUUUCAAAAAUCGGAAUUAAAAUGGCAGCUGAAUAUCGAUUUGAAUGUUUUUUGUAAAAUCCAUUAUGGCGGCCAAUCAGUUGAAAAUGUUAUCUAACAAGGUCUUUGAACAUGAAGGAUAUUAUCUGGGGCUAACACCACCAUUUAUAUCAUUUUUUGUCUAUUUUUAAAAUGGAGAGAACUAUUCAUGUUCAGGAAAAAUCGGAAGGCAUGGUAAUUUCCAGAAGUUUCCAGAAGCCGUCACAAAAUUUUUUAAUAUGCUAUUUUGAAGGCAGAUGUGUUCCUUAUUCCUUAUUUCAACUUGAUACCUCAAAUAGUGAUGGAGAUACGCCAUCUUGAAUGUCGAAAAAAUGCUGAAGAAAACUUUCGCAAAUCUUUGAUGCUAAUAUUAAUCAAGCAAACUUCAGAAUAUCAAAAAAACGUCCAUCAGAGCCCAUAUGGGAUUCAUCCAAAGAAGAUCCGUUAGGAAAUAACUUAGAUAUGGGCAAUCUGAGAUUAUUAUUUGUUUCAUCCGUAAAACACUUCCUGUUCAUCAAAAAUGACCCAAUUUAUAUUAAAUAAAUAGACCCACGGAGGCCAACCACAUCUACGUUGGCGGAAUGUUUGCAUCAUGUACAGUUUUGGCUGCACAAAAACAGUCGAGACAGUCGAAACGCAUUAAUUUAUGUUUUUUGUUAAUUUGACAGUUAGUGUUAUUGUCUUGAAACUUGCUAUACUUUCUUUUUCCUGCCAUAUCAAGCUUUGUUUAAAGUGGCUGUUUUUCUUAAUUCACCCUAUGAUUGCUUCAUUAUAAGCUCAUUUGACUCCUAUCUUGUGCUGGAGGCACAGUAACUUAAUUAGUAAGAUGCUGGAUUUCUGUUUUCAGUGUUGACAGAGAAAGUUACUUAGGAUUUACCAUGUCAGUGGUGCAGGAUGGCGAGUCUGGCUAGGAAAAACUUCUAAUCAUUUGGAUGUUGAUGUGAAUGUAAAAUAAUUGUUGCCGUCCGAGCAAAAUGACCAUUCAAAGCACACUGCAUGGUAUCUACCCCUCUUUAUUAGCCACUUUAGUUCAUAAAAACCCAUUUGUCACCUGUUUAUAUGGUAUCAGUAAGUUUAAAAGUAAUGAAUGGGCACAUUUUAUAUUUAAUGAGUAUAGUAUGAUAUAGAUUACUUGUAAUAUCAUAACUUUGCAGUAGCUCAGAUAAACAGUGCAAUAAUAACUCAAUUGCUAAAAUAUUGCACAGUUAGGAUCCAAUGUUAAAUAUAAGCUAUUUAGUGGCAGAUAUUAUGAUAAGUUAUAGUAGAAAGGUUAUUUGGAAAUAAGAAAUCAAAGGAUUGUUACUAUAUAGAUAGGUAUAUUUAAUUUGUUAUUUUUGAUGUAGUUUGUUAUUAAUAAUCUGUUUUGUUAUUAUUUAAGGUUUUUGUAUUCUAAGAAAAAUUUAUAUUUAUCUUAAAUUUAUAUGUCAAAGUGCUCUGUUUAAUAGUUUAAUAAUAUGAAAUAUGUUAUAUAGAUAUGAUAAGUAAAUACUGGUACAGCAACAAGAAUUUUUAUGUACUGGUGACAGUUCCACACAACCAUGUUUUUUGUACAGUACAUGGUUAUUUCAUCGGUUAGUGCAGUGUUGACAUAAAUAUGGGUAUGGUAGCUCCAAUGCAGCUCUUUUACUUACCUGAACUAUCACCUUCUCGAUUUAAAAAGCAUACUAUUACAACACAAAAAAGUGAAAUCAAAGAUUUGAUUAUUGAGAUACAUUCAUUUCCAAGGAUUGAGGAAAUCCAAAUUCUUUCUUGAAAUCUUGAGUUUAGGAUGUUACAAAUCAUUGUUUUCUUGUUAAAUUGUCAAAUUAAUUUAAUGUUAAAAACAAAUUGGAACUAUGACAAAUGGCAACUGUUUAUUACAAUAUAUCUUAUUGAGGUUUUUUCUCUAAAAAUAAUUAUUAACCUAUGAUUCAAUAGAUGUGUUUCUGACAAUUAGUUAAAUGUUUUUUUGGUUUUUUUUACUGGAUUGUUAUCAAAGUUUCCACUCAUCUAUAAGAAUUAUUAGGGUGGGGUAGUGCUAGUAGUGAACACUGUGGUACAUGUAUGUAUACAGUAGCGGUGGUGCUAGGAUUUUCACAAAUUCUCACCUAAAUGCACAAUUUGGGGUGUGCGCUUGAUAAGAAAGAAACAUAAACAACAAAAAUAAUUGCAUCUUGGGGUCGAACUAAAAGGGGGUAAAUCAGUUCAUGGAAUCUUGAUAUGACUAGCUUGGAAUGAAUAGUACGUACUUCACUAAAUUGCAAAUGGUGUUUGUCAGUUAGAUGGGGUUGGAUGUGUGUGUGAGA